ACACGGCCCCGACGCCUAAGGGCGGCAGCAGUGAGGAAUCUUCCGCAAUGGGCGAAAGCCUGACGGAGCGACGCCGCGUGGGGGAAGAAGGCCGAAAGGUCGUAAACCCCUUUUCCCGGGGACGAGGAAGGACGGUACCCGGGGAAUAAGUCCCGGCUAACUACGUGCCAGCAGCCGCGGUAAUACGUAGGGGGCAAGCGUUACCCGGAUUCACUGGGCGUAAAGGGCGCGCAGGUGGCUCCGUAAGUCGGGCGUGAAAGCUCUAGGCUCAACCUGGAGAGGUCGUCCGAUACUGCGGGGCUUGAGGACGGGAGAGGGAGGUGGAAUUCCCGGUGUAGCGGUGAAAUGCGCAGAUAUCGGGAGGAACACCAGUGGGGAAGCCGGCCCCCUGGCCUGCUCCUGACGCUGAGGCGCGAAAGCGUGGGGAGCGAAGGGGAUUAGAUACCCCCGUAGUCCACGCCUUAAACGAUGGGUGCUAGGUGUGGGGGGUUUAAAAACCCUCCGUGCCGAAGCUAACGCGAAGAACCUUACCCGGGCUUGACAUGCCGGUAGUAGCGACCCGAAAGGGGAGCGAGCCCCCUUGUGGGGCAGCCGGCACAGGUGCUGCAUGGCUGUCGUCAGCUCGUGCCGUGAGGUGUUGGGUUAAGUCCCGCAACGAGCGCAACCCUCGCCCCUAGUUACACGUGUCUAGGGGGACUGCCGGCGAUAAGCCGGAGGAAGGUGGGGACGACGUCAAGUCAGCAUGGCCUUUAUGCCCGGGGCUACACACACGCUACAAUGGCCGGUACAAAGGGUAGCGAACCCGCGAGGGGGAGCUAAUCCCCAAAAGCCGGCCUCAGUUCGGAUUGCAGGCUGCAACCCGCCUGCAUGAAGCCGGAGUCGCUAGUAACCGCGGAUCAGCCAUGCCGCGGUGAAUACGUUCCCGGGCCUUGUACACACCGCCCGUCACGUCAUGGGAGCCGGCAACACUUGAAGUCGGUAGUCUUAACCCGACAAGGGAGGGUGCCGUCCGAAGUGUGUGGUC
Molecule: ribosomal RNA, 1024 nt
Filed under: uncultured bacterium
Lineage: Bacteria
Description: bacterial SSU rRNA
Rfam family: Bacterial small subunit ribosomal RNA
Source: RNAcentral